CAGCGCCACGAGUGGUAACCGCGAUUAUUGGGCCUAAAGCGUCCGUGGCCGGGUUGAUAAAUCCUUUGUGAAAUUGUGCGGCUCAACCGAACAACGUGCAAGGGACACUGUUAACCUCGAGACCGGGAGGAGUCAGAAGUAUUCCUGAGGGAGCGGUAAAAUGUUAUAAUCUCAGGAGGACUACCUGGGGCGAAGGCGUCUGACCAGAACGGAUCUGACGGUGAGGGACGAAAGCCAGGGGAGCGAACCGGAUUAGAUACCCGAGUAGUCC
Molecule: ribosomal RNA, 271 nt
Filed under: uncultured archaeon
Lineage: Archaea
Description: partial 16S ribosomal RNA
Rfam family: Archaeal small subunit ribosomal RNA
Source: RNAcentral